GACGAACGCUGGCGGCGUGCUUAACACAUGCAAGUCGAACGGAAAGGCCCUGCUUUUGUGGGGUGCUCGAGUGGCGAACGGGUGAGUAACAAGUGAGUAACCUGCCCUUGACUUUGGGAUAACUUCAGGAAACUGGGGCUAAUAACGGAUAGGAGCCCCUGCUGCAUGGUGGGGGUUGGAAAGUUUCGGCGGUUGGGGAUGGACUCGCGGCUUAUCAGCUUGUUGGUGGGGUAGUGGCUUACCAAGGCUUUGACGGGUAGCCGGCCUGAGAGGGUGACCGGCCACAUUGGGACUGAGAUACGGCCCAGACUCCUACGGGAGGCAGCAGUGGGGAAUAUUGCACAAUGGGCGGAAGCCUGAUGCAGCAACGCCGCGUGCGGGAUGACGGCCUUCGGGUUGUAAACCGCUUUCGCCUGUGACGAAGCGUGAGUGACGGUAAUGGGUAAAGAAGCACCGGCUAACUACGUG
This 468-nucleotide ribosomal RNA is filed under the name uncultured bacterium. RNAcentral describes it as "partial 16S ribosomal RNA". It matches the Rfam family "Bacterial small subunit ribosomal RNA", at positions 28 to 507 of the family's 1533-position model. The record is from RNAcentral.